Molecule: ribosomal RNA, 375 nt
Filed under: uncultured organism
Description: partial 16S ribosomal RNA
Rfam family: Bacterial small subunit ribosomal RNA
Source: RNAcentral
GUAGGGUGCGAGCGUUGUCCGGAAUUAUUGGGGCGUAAAGAGCUUGUAGGCGGUUUGUCGCGUCUGCUGUGAAAAUUCAGGGGCUUAACCCUGGGACGUGCAGUGGGUACGGGCAGACUAGAGUAUGGUAGGGGAGACUGGAAUUCCUGGUGUAGCGGUGGAAUGCGCAGAUAUCAGGAGGAACACCGAUGGCGAAGGCAGGUCUCUGGGCCAUUACUGACGCUGAGAAGCGAAAGCAUGGGGAGCGAACAGGAUUAGAUACCCUGGUAGUCCAUGCCGUAAACGUUGGGCGCUAGGCGUGGGUCUCAUUCCACGAGAUCCGUGUCGCAGCUAACGCAUUAAGCGCCCCGCCUGGGGAGUACGGCCGCAGGGCUA